UCCUUAGGUCGCUGGUUCGAUUCCG
Molecule: non-coding RNA, 25 nt
Filed under: Bos taurus (domestic cattle)
Lineage: Eukaryota; Metazoa; Chordata; Mammalia; Artiodactyla; Bovidae
Also listed under: 2 other names
Source: RNAcentral